This is a long non-coding RNA of Mus musculus (house mouse), 9414 nucleotides long. RefSeq annotates it as predicted gene, 52131. The record is from RefSeq and is a predicted model, not a curated record. The transcript is spliced from 2 exons. NCBI's taxonomy places the organism in Eukaryota, Metazoa, Chordata, Mammalia, Rodentia, Muridae.
UAUCAACUCAGAAAGAAAACCCAAAUACUGUGCAAAGCUUCCUGCCAACUUUCUUAGCUGUAGUAAGUGUCCUCGGGGCUUCAAAAUCUGGGCUCUUCUAGAUAUUUACAAGUCGUUACAGCCAAGAAAACUCUUGAGUUCUUAGUAAUUUCUGGGCCCAGGAAUACUUACUUUGUAGAAUCCAGUAUGUUUUAACUGUCUAACUUUGACAGCCCAGAUAGCACACUGUAAGUUUGCUAUUUCCUUUGUCCAUACUCAUUAAUUUAGGGUUUGAGUUUUCUUUCUUUUCCACACAGAUGUAUAACUUUGUCAAGUUGUUUGGAGUUACUAUUAACCUCACCUUCACCACACACACACACACACACACACACACACACACACACACACACACACACACUCGUAAUUGGAUGGUCUCUUUAUUCUCCAUGAAUUGAACACAUACAUGCAUUGGUAGAAAACAUUAAUUAAAAAUAUUUCAAGCAGGGCUGAGUCCAGUCCUUAGUUACACUUCUAAAAAAUAUGGUUGUGAAGUUAAGCUGAAUUUUUUGGCUGAUUCCAAACCAUGUGGUGAAGAAGUCUUCUUUGCCCGGGUUUUCCACCUCCAUAGUUUCUGUCUCCCACACUGCUUUCCAAAUGUCCCUGCUUCUGGCUGGCAGCUCUUUGCCUUUCCCUCUGUCCCUCCCUCCAUCCCUCUGUCCCUCCCUCCAUCCCUCUGUCCCUCCCUCCAUCCCUCUGUCCCUCCCUCUCUCCCUGCCUCCUUUCCUCCUUCCUUUCUUCAUGGUGGCUCCCGCCUUUUCUUCCUUGCUUCUGCCUCUGGCCUUUUCCCUCCAGCAAAGCUCUGAGGUCCUCUCAGACGUGGUACCUCUGACCACCAGAAUUUUAACUGCAGGUCCAGCUUUCACCCGUGGAUAAGCUCUGGAUCUCUGACGAUCUAGUAACUUUUAUGUCACCUGACUUGACACCUCCUCCAGCAGCCAUCCAGAGGGAUGUGUUCUUCUUGGUAGUCUCUGCAAGGGCAGUAGGCUGCUUGUAGGCACUGAAAUGUACUUGAGUUGGAAAACCACCUCAUGUCAGCUCAGUCCCUGAACAAGUUCUUUCAGGAGAGAAUGUUCUCUUAGUCCCAGUCGUAGAAUCAGAACUAAACCAGAGGAGGGGCAGUUGGGAAAUUAUGUAACAGGUAUCCAGUGUUUCCUAACAGUCAAUCUUGCUCCAACGGGCUAUCACCAUUUAAGAUGUACCCACCUGUGGUUAAAAAUCACUGUGCUUAGAAAUGUAAACGGGUACUUCAGUUUCAGAAAAGACUUUAUGUAACAAUGAACACUCUGUAUCUUAGAGUCUAGAAUGUUCACUGGGAUUUCUGAUUUAGUCAUAUUAACCUUUGUACCCUGGCAGUUUCAUUACCGUGAAAUAUCCUAUUUAUUGAUGUGCAUCAUCCUUGUGAUUAUUUUUGUUUGUUUUAAGUCUCUCAAAUUUGACAACCAUGACAGGCUAGGAACUACAUUCUGUAUUGUUACAGUUUAAAUCUGGAAUGUCCCCAGAAGCUCAGCUGGUGGCACUGUGGGGAGAGGGGGAAGAGUGAAAGGAAGUUAAGUCAUUGGGAGUGUGCCCUUGAAGCCACUAUUGGGAUCUUAGCCUGUCCUCCCCCAUAUCUGCUUACCAGCCACCAUGAGAUCAUCAACUUUGCUGUACUAUGGCCACCAUGCCAUGAUCCUCUGCCUUACCACAGGUUUCAGAUGAUGAGCUGAACCAUCAUGGACUCAACCCAUGAGCACUAACUUUUUUCUCAGGCAUCUUUGACAGAGUGAUGACUAAUAUCUUGUUGGGAGUGACAAGUGACACAGGUCUGUCUCAGCAGGCUGCUGUCCCCUGCAACGUAGUAGGAACUAACAUUCACUGACCUCAGAGUUGAAAACAUCAGGGCAUGUGACUCUGUGCUGAGAUUCCUUUUCUUUUCCAUUCCUUAUUGGUUUUCAGAGGUUUGCUACAACCCUACCAGAGUCUGACCUAGGGCAAUACACCGCCCUCUCCAUGCUUUAGCUUUCUGUUGAAUGGAUCUGGGGCCUCUCUAGGUCUGGGCCCUUUGUUCUACCUCCUCUCUACUCAAGACCUCAGACUCACCUGUCACCGGGAGCCUGGGAAGUGCACUGCAAUUGGCCAACUGGCUGAUAGGUGUGGUGUGAAAAAAAAAAUGACUCCAAGUGUGGUAGCCAUGCCUAGGAUCCUGGCACUUGCAUCAGGGUCAGAGGCAGCAGGGCUGCUAUACAUCUGAGUGCUCAUUUGAAAAAAACAAACCACUGAACAAACAAAAGGAGACAGACCGCUUGCAGAAUUCAAGUUCACAAUAUCUAAAGGGCAAAAUUAUACAGAACCCAAAAUAGCAUAUGCCUGACAUCUAAAAAUUCUGUCUUUAGAAGUGCAGCUUGGCUCUCUCUGCUGCUUAAAUGAAGUUCCCAAUUUGGCUAAGUGUAUGCAGUCAUUGCACAAUGGGGGUUCCAGAGCUUUCUGCUCCUUUCCUGUCACUUGUCCACCUGUCUAUGGGAGAGGAGAGAACGGUUGGCGUGGGGAGGGCUCCUGUCAUCUGGGUCACCUAUAGCUACACGGAAAAGGCCAGAUUGAGACAGCGCUUGACUUUCACCCUGCCAGCAUUCAAGGGGCUGGUGGGCUAGCUAGGCAGUUGGCUCAGAGAGGUCAUGUGACUUACUCAGGGUGGCCGGGCCUUUGGAGCAGGGUUUGAGCCAGAGACUACUUGGUUUGGAACUGACAUCCUUUUUCUGAUGUCACCUUUCUCUGCACUGCUUGAAGGAGCCUCACUAGGGCCCGAUAGAUUUAAAAAAUGCCUUUCAGCCGGAUCCACAUACAAAAGCAUGAUUUCCAGCCAAGCCAAUUUAGUAAAUUGAUUUGUAAACUCCUGUGUGUUCCCAGAGUGCUCUGAAGGACCCUUGAGAUGCAGCUUUUGCUGGGAAAAUGCAAAGACUCCUCCAGCUCUCCCCUACCCCCCUUCGAUUUUAGUAGCAAAUAAUGCAGACAGCACUGGCUACAUCUGCCUGCCUGUCAGUUACCCAGAGCAACAGUGGUACUUUUUACCUGUCCAAACUCCUCCUUCAGCCUUGGAGGUCUCAAUACAUUAUGCCAAAACAGUGUCACCAACUGUAACUUCAUCAAGUGACUGAAGAGUCCAAUGUGCUGAGCGGAAUGCCUGCAUGGCAGCUUUAUGGUUUGAUCCAGUCUGCUGGUGACUGCGGAGCUGCAGUUAGCAUUUAGAUCGGCUUUGAGGGAUCGAGGCCACACCGGUGUGAGAAAAUACAGAGGUGUGUUGUGCCCAGCAAUCAGAGACGGCUCCUUAAACGAAGUCCCUGGCAUUCAGUCUCAGCAAGUUAUUUUAAACUCAAGCUAUUUUUUAUUCUGCUUUUUGUUGUCUGUCAGUAACUAUCUUUUCCCCAGGUCUUCUCCCGCUCCCUUCGUGGACUGGGCUGAUGUUAUGGGGAGGCCACAGCCUCAGGUCCCUGUUGCCCCUCAGGCUUGCUGCUAAUGCUCACUCACAGGUUAGAGGCAGCUGACACUCUGCAAAAGUGAAAGCGAACAUUUCGCAGUUACGCAAUGCCUUUGUCUGUGCUGUCUGAGAGCGCCCUGUGGCCACCCUCCCUCUAAUCUGCACAGUGUCCUGUGAAGUGGGCAGAGAAACAGAAGCAUCUGGAGAUGAAAGACUCAGCCAAGCUCCGAGCCUACUUUCUCCCUUCUGAGAACAACUUUGGCCAGAUCUCCAUGCCUGUCUCAGGAAGGUUUUUCUCCGCUCCCAAUAUCUUAAUGAAAGUGACAGCUGGUGGCUGUGGGCCACUCUGUUCAGCAGAGCAUUAGGCUAUAGCCCCCAGGUCAGGGGAGUGUUGUCAGCUCAGAACAGCUACUCCUACUCUGGAAAAUUCUCCACAGGCAAGAGGAUCUAUCAGAGGAAAAAAAAAAAAAGCUUACUAAUGGAGAAGGCUGUGUGGUAAAGGAAGGACAAGAGAUGCUGGUCAUAACUAGAGUUGAAAGAGGAGUUAUUUGACACUUUAGGGCUAGAGAGAUGACUAGUGUUAAGAGCACAGUCCUCUUGCAGAGACCUGAGUUUGGUUCCCAGCACUCACGUUGGGUAGUUCACAAGCACUUGUAAUUGCAGCCCAGGGAGAUCUGAUGCCCCCUGCUGGCUUCCUCAUGUGCCUGCACUCAUGCACACAGAGACUCACAAACAGGCACAUAUCCAUACCCAGAAUUUUUUUAAAGAACCUUUAAGAUUUUAAAGUACAGUCUUUGAGCAUCUAUUUGCCACCCAAACCGUUACUUCCAAAUCUGAAAGCUUGUCCUUGACAACAAUGUCUAACUGCACAUUGGUGUACACAUGUAAUGGCAUGUAAUAUAGGGGCGUGAGAUAGGAGGGUCACAAGUCCUAUGCCAACCUGGGCUGUAUAGUGAGAGAAUGAGACUCUCAUCUCAAUUAAACUUUCCUUUUAAAGAAAAGGACUAGAACUUUAAUGUUGAUUGUUAGAAAGGGACAGCAGCUGCUGUCCCCUAUUGUCUCUUAGGUUUCUAAUGGCCUCAUGGUAGAUUUUUUGAGACAACCAGCUUCUGAGAGACCUAUGAUCUGUGUCAGGUUGUCUUGGGGGCCCUUCAACAAGGAGAACACAUGCCAGUGUAUCCUAAGACAUCAGGGGACACGCUGAUACCCUUGCCACCUGCUGACCUUGCCACCAGGGCCAGACCUCUGCAGGCCUUUCCCAAAGUAAUAUACAGAAAAACUGGUCACAGACGCAUGGGGACCAGCAGCUGUCAGAGGCCUGAUAAUGUGCUCCACUCCUGGGGACACCUUUGUCACUUUGGAAGAAUGAGUUCAGUGUCUCUAUGAGGAACCCAUCACGAGAACAGCACUCCCCUCCCCACCUGGAAUUGUGACUUUUUUUUUCUUUAAACAGUCCUGGUUAUUUGUUGGCCAGCUGAGAAAACAGACUUAGAAACAGCAGGCAAUAUGUCAGGCUUCAAAGGAAAAUGUAUUGGUGUCUCGCUGGCUUGCAGCCAACAUUAUGUUGGUAAAUAAUCAAAUCCCGGUGCGGCGGGUUUCUCCCUGAACCUUGACUGAAAACUAUUGAAGCUGGGUCUGGGAGGAGAAGAGUGGCAGCCACGCAUUCCAGGGGAAAGGCUGAGGAGAAUGACUGGGAAUGCUUGUAAUUAAGCAGGCCUUCUAUGCCCACAAGACUGAUGGGACAGCAAGCUAAGAACUGGAGCGAGCUUCCAAGAUGAGGAAGCACUGGGACUGAAGAUGGAGCCCAGGGCUUCCUGCUUGCUAGGCAGAAACUCUUCCACCCACAUCCCUAGCUUUGGAGAUAUAGUUUAAGGUAAGUUUGUUUUUUGCAUCUUUUUCUCUUGUUGCUGAUCUUGACUUCCAUUUUAUUCCUAGAUGCAGACAGGCCUGAUGACAGAGGGAUGGGGCGUGCAGGCCUCUGAACAUGGGCCUGUGGUGUGACUGAGGAAGGGUAGCCAUGUUGUUUUGAGAGACCUAGGGUGCUGCUAGAUGAGGUUCCUGCCCCUUUUAUAUACAGUGUAUUGGAUGAAGAGGGGGGACAAGGACAGCAUGGAGCUUGUCUGUAGUGGAAAGAAGAGACAUGAUUCUUGAAAGCAUUUCCAUCUCUUUCCACUGUAAUUCAAUGUUGUCAUCUAUACAGUUCAUGUAUAAGAACCACACAGUCAAGUUGAAAAAAAAAAUCUGUGUAAUUUUUAGAAUUUUGGGAUGGGCUGUCGUUAUAGCUACCAUAGACCUAUGGGCUGUUGGUGCCACAUCCUGGUAGGGUGUGGUAAGUGGAGUCCAGGUGGGAAUUGUGUAUACUUGAAGGGUGCUCCUGGCAGGAAUAAGAUGUCAUUUACCACAGCAACACUUUAUUGGUUUAGGCAUCACUUUUAUACCAACUUUAGUCAUUUCGGCGUGUAGAAGACCCAAGGGUACCAGGUGGUGGCACACAUUUAAUCCCAGCACCAGGCAAACAGAGGCAGGUGGAUCUCUGUGAGUUCAAGGCCAGGCUGGUCUAUAGAGUAAAUUCCAGAACAGCUAAGGCUAUACAGAAAAACCAUGAUUAGACUCCUUCCCCGUCAAAGAAUCAAAAAAGUAAGCCCUCUCAAUAGAACAGCUAAGGGGAAGACCUGGGUUCUCAGCGGAAUUGUGCUACAGAGACCUAGGGUGCUGCUAGGUGAGGUUCCUGCCCCUUUAUGUACAGUGUAUUGGAUGAAGAGGGGGGACAAGGACAGCAUGGGACUUGGGUCACAUUGCUGUAGAGAGUGCUUCGGGGUCAAAGGGGGCAUGAGAUCCCCAGGGCAUUGCUCCUUGGCUCACUAGAGGGGUUCCUGGGCCACCCCUCCCUGCCAAGGUCCUAGAGAGUGACCUCAGCUUCACUCAGCUCCAUUGGCUCCUGCCUCCCUCCUUCAUAGUGCCAGACAAGACCUUUGUCUCCAGGACAUUGAGAGUGUCAGCCUUGUGUUCUCAGAACUGGCUUCCCAUCACCCAGGUCCCAGUACUGAGCUUUCUGCAAAGCCCUCCCACACUGGACUGGACUAGCCCAGCCCAGGCUCCCUCCCAUACCCCGAAAAGAGCUCUUGGUCUCAGCUAUGAAGCCAGCUGGUUAUGAAUGUUAUCAUCUUCCUUUUCUCCUGAUCCCCACCUGUAUUAGUCAGGGUUCUCUAGAGUCACAGAACUUAUGAAUAGUCUCUAAAUAGUAAAGGAAUUUAUUGAUGACUUACAGUCGGCAGCCCAAUUCCCAACAAUUGUUCAGUCGCAGCUGUGAAUGGAAGUCCAAGGAUCUAGCAGUUACUCAGUCUCACGCAGCAAGCAGGCGAAGGAGCAGGAGCAAGAGCAAGAGCUAGAGCUAGAGCAAGAGCUAGACUCCCUUCUUCCAAUGUCCUUAUAUUGUCUCCAGCAGAAGGUGUAGCCCAGAUUAAAGGUGUGUUCCACCACACCUUUAAUCCUAGAUGAAAGGCGUAGCCCAGAUUAAAGGUGUGUUCCUUAAACUCGGAGAUUCAAUCUUCUGGAAUCCAUAGCCAAUAUGGCUCAAGAUCUUCAAACCAAGAUCCAGAUAAGGAUCUCCAAGCCUCCAGAUAAGGGUCACUGGUGAGCCUUCCAAUUCCGGAUUGUAGUUCAUUCCAAAUAUUGUCAAGUUGACAACCAGGAAUAGCCACUACACCACCCAAUAGGCCUGUUCUUUUAUUUUUAUUUUUUACAUAGGAAAAGGGUUAAUUUAUUUUACAAAUGUGGCAGACAUUUCUUAAAUUUCCAAGAAAGCAUGCAAUCCCCCCCCCCUCGCAUCCUCCCCUGCCCCAAGCGCUUCUAUUGUUUCGCAUUCAGUUGUGUUUCCUUUGUUUCUCUCAGCACUCACGUUUCACAGACAGUAAACAGAUGUAGACAACCACAAAACAGAAUUGAUUAUUCAGCCUCAGUGAACCAAGCUAGCAUUUUAUUUUUGAGCACUGAGGAUCAAACCCAGGUCUUUGUACCUGCCCGGCAAGCAUGCUACCAUAGAACUGAACCUGAAACCCUGGCUAGUAUGGCUGAAGAAAACCUGAGUACCAUGGGUCAAGUACAGGCAAUAUAAAAAUGGCAUUCUCUCUCUUGCUCUUAUUCUCCUCAGCUAUUUAUCCUGGACUUGAUUGUAAAAAACCAUGAAAACAUAUACAAGGCACAGUAAAGCAACACACAUUUGAACUCUGCUCGAUCAAAGAAAAAUAGGGGCUGGCGAGAUGGCACAGUGGGUAAAGGUCACUGUCAAGCCUGGGGACGUAGUUCAAGCCCCGAGACCCACAUGGCGAGAAGAGAGAACCGGCUCCUGGGAACUGUCUUAUCAGCUCUACCUGCAUGCUGUGGCCCCUGUGUGCCCACUUUUCAGUACACAUGUACACAUAAAUAAGUAAAUGUAAUAAAAGUCAAAAAAGAAUUAUGCAGAUAAGGAGGAGAAGACAUAUUUAUAAAGUUCUGUGGCUGUUAAACACUUGCCCCAACCGACUCUCCCUAGCCCCUGAUGACUCCCAUCCUGUCUUCUGAUUUUAUCAGUCUGGGUGUCUAAGAAUGGAGUCAAGCAAUACCCAUUAGUGACUGGCUUGAUUCACACAACAGAAUGUCUCAUAGUUCAACCACAUCCUAGUGUACUAUAUCUCUUCUUUUCUAUGCUGAGUAAUUUGUAUUUGUAUGUAUGUAUGUAUGUAUGUAUGUAUGUAUGUAUGUAUGUGUGUAUGUAUUUGAUUAUAUGUAUGGAGCGUGGUCUCUUUAUCUACUUAGCCAUCCACAGGCACCUUUAGCUGUUUUCAGCAAUGUUGAGAUGAACACAAGUGUGUAGAGCUCCUUGAAUCCUUGAUCUUUAUCCUCUUGGUGACUAUACCCAGAUAGAAUACUCUGCUGGGGCUUCCUUGAAGUUUGUGACACACUACCACUCUAUGUUCCUGAACAGCUGGCCCUUCACAGGCUCCAGUAAAGCACAAGUACCAUUUGCCCACAUCUCUGCCAACGCUCCUUCUAUAAGAACCAAGGUGUCAACCGGAAAGCCUGUCAGUGGGCAAAUGGGGAAAGAAAAUGCAGCAGGGCUCAGCGUUAACGCUGAAGGACACCACAUCCAUCAUUAUGGAGCAUGGAGGAGUCUGAAGAGCAUGGUGCUCAUUGGUAAAUCAGGCACAGAAAGAUGGGGCCAUCUUCUCACUUGAGGGGUCUAGAAAAGGCGAGCUCACAGAAGCAGAGAAUGAAAUAGUGGGUGCCAAGGCCUGAGGCUGGAGUGCAAAAGGAAGGUGGAGAGAUGCUUGUCAAAGAAUGUGAAAUGUCACUCUGAUACAAAAUAGUCACAUCUUGACUGUAAUUGAUAUGACAGACACCAGAAAAUCAUUAGAGAGUAGAUAUUAGGUGGGCUUACCCACUCCCUCAAAAUGACAAAUUCAUGGGAAGUUAUGUUAAUUAGCUUGAUUUAAUCACUCCACAGUGGAUACAUGAGCCAAUACAGUAUGUACCAUAAUUAUAUUCACUUUUUAUUUAGAAAAGAUAAAUUAAUAAAAAUAGUUUUGAGAAGAUUAAUAAAUGUGGGAAGAGGAGGCUAGUAAAGUUAGUAAAGUUCUUAGUAAAGUUCUUCCUUUACAAGUGUAAGGCCCUGAGUUCAAAUCCCAGAACCAGAAAAGAACACUGAGGCAGUGACACACACGUAGAAGAAGCCCACUUCUAGGGAGGUGGAAACUGGUGAGUCCUUGUGGCUCAAUGGUUAGCAAGCCUAAGCUUGAUUGUUGAGCCUUGGGCUAAUGAGAGUCCCUGUCUCAAGAUACAAAGUACAUAGUACUCAAGAAAUGGCACCCAACAUUGUUCUCUUGCAUCCACAUGUGAAAACACAGACACAGACACAGACACAGACACAGACACACACAGACACAGAC